This 419-nucleotide ribosomal RNA is filed under the name bacterium. RNAcentral's name for it is "partial 16S ribosomal RNA". It matches the Rfam family "Bacterial small subunit ribosomal RNA", at positions 355 to 776 of the family's 1533-position model. The record is from RNAcentral.
UGGGGGAUAUUGCACAAUGGGCGAAAGCCUGAUGCAGCGACGCCGCGUGGGGGAUGAAGGCCUUCGGGUUGUAAACUUCUUUUGCUCUGAACAAGGCGCACCAUGGGGUGUGUUGAGUGUAGGGGUUGAUUAGCGCCGGCUAACUACGUGCCAGCAGCCGCGGUAAUACGUAGGGCGCGAGCGUUGUCCGGAAUUAUUGGGCGUAAAGGGCUUGUAGGUGGCUGGUUGCGUCUGUCGUGAAAGCUCAUGGCUUAACUGUGUGUUUGCGGUGGGUACUGGCUGGCUUAAGUGCAGUAGGGGAGGCUGGAAUUCCUGGUGUAGCGGUGGAAUGCGCAGAUAUCAGGAGGAAUACCGGUGGCGAAGGCGGGUCUCUGGGCUGUUACUGACACUGAGGAGCGAAAGCAUGGGGAGCGAACAGG